RNAcentral lists this unclassified non-coding RNA (262 nucleotides) under plant metagenome. RNAcentral's name for it is "partial contains small subunit ribosomal RNA, internal transcribed spacer 1, and 5.8S ribosomal RNA". The record is from RNAcentral.
UCUCCGUUGGUGAACCAGCGGAGGGAUCAUUACCGAGUUUACAACUCCCAAACCCCUAUGUGAACGUUACCAAACUGUUGCCUCGGCGGGAAAUUCAUGCCCCGGGCGCGUCGCAGCCCCGGACCAAGGCGCCCGCCGGAGGACCAACCAAAACUCUUUUGUAUGUCCCUCGCGGACUUUUAUAAUUCUGAACCAUCUCGGCGCCCCUAGCGGGUGUUUCGAAAAUGAAUCAAAACUUUCAACAACGGAUCUCUUGGUUCUG